This 102-nucleotide non-coding RNA is filed under the name chicken gut metagenome. RNAcentral describes it as "THF riboswitch". It matches the Rfam family "THF (Tetrahydrofolate) riboswitch aptamer". From Rfam's summary of the family: THF riboswitch presents a pseudoknot that joins P1-P2 and the loop of P3 and two THF binding. The record is from RNAcentral.
GCAGAGUAGGGUUCUGUGCGUCAAGUGCCGUCUGGACGGGGAGUUGCCAGGCGGACGAAAAGCCGGCUUCCGGCUUGCGGUACAGGUCCCGCAUCCCGCUGC